This is a long non-coding RNA of Carcharodon carcharias (great white shark), 3166 nucleotides long. RefSeq lists it as uncharacterized. NCBI's taxonomy places the organism in Eukaryota, Metazoa, Chordata, Chondrichthyes, Lamniformes, Lamnidae. The transcript is spliced from 6 exons. The record is from RefSeq and is a predicted model, not a curated record.
AAUCCGAAGCUGCUGGAAAUCAACAUGCAAUUUAGCCGCAAUUAGGAGAAACAAUCAAAAGGGUGGGAUUUUUCACUCAUGCCACAUAUCAACUUCUUCUGUCAAUAUUGCUUAUUUAAACAAAUUUGGAAAAAAUAGAGGUGAUUAAAACACACAGAGCUCCCAAAUCAUCAGGACAAGUUAUAAACGGGAUACAUCUCCUGAACUACAUCUUCACCACCAUAAUUAUUUUACUCUCCAAAUUGUUUUUUUUCCAAACGCCACUGACAAUCAGUGCCAAAUUAAGGACAGUAUAGUACGCGCUGGACCAAUGCAAUUCAGUUUAUAUCAGCUUCGAACAAAGAAUCUUUCACCCCUUCAACAUGGAUAUAGACCCAGCUCCCAAAGAUGAGGCAAACCUGAGCUAGAAGAUCUGCAUCGCAGUCACCCACAGUGACCAACUACACGCUCUUCACAACAAAAAGACAUUAAUGAAAAGGAUAUUUCCACUUGGUGAUGCGGCCCACCUCUCCCGACAUGAAUGUGAGGUAGCGGAGGGUUUCAAUACCAACAUUUGUGUGCAUCACUUUCCUCAGUCCUUCUCGCUGCCAGAUGUACAUCGCCACUACUGGUGAUGCGUAAUUCUGAAUCCAGAGAAUGUCACCUGAUUCGCUGUCUACUGUCACCACCAGGCCAUCUCCAUUCGACACAAAGUGGAGCAUUUCUGCAAGUAGGUGGUUAGAAUUGGUACAUACAAAGCAUUUCACUGCGCUAAAAGCAUGGUGGCAGAAUGUUCAGCUUCUACUACUGACACUACUGGGGACAAUGGAGCUACACAAAAAUGGCGUAUCAGGAAUGUACAAUCUUCUGGAGUUGAAGGGCUGGGUACAUGCGGUAAAACAGCGACUGGACUACAUAUGGUUACUCAGAAUCAUGACCCCCACCUCCCACCCCACUCCCCCAAACCACUCCACAAUGCAAAUAUGUCAAGGUCCCCCAUCCUGUUUUGCCCUGACCCACUUUCCAUCCUCCUCCUCUGCUACACACUGCAGGAUUAGUCAAGAUUAAUUUCAGACAGGGCUUCACUGAGGAUAAAAGGAGCUCUUUAAGCAGUGGUAGUGAAAGAAUGAUGCCCACUCCAAUGUACACAGGGUCUGGCUACCUAGUGAAUACAGCAUUGAACAAGCAAAUGAGAGAUUGGGUGUGCUAAUCCCUCCAAGGCGAGCUGUAAAACUGAAUUAAAUAAAAAUGCUAAUUUAUGGGCUAACGCUUGAAAAAUAGCCUUCAAAACUGGUAGUUACUAAAAAACAAACAUAUCCAAAAGGCUUACUAAUGCCCUUCAGGGAAGGGAGUUUCAGGAUUUGUUGUAAUGUUCUUUUUCAUUAAAUAAACAAGCACACAUUAUACACGUGCGCAAAUGAAUUGUGAAUUCAGUUGCUUGAAAAAUUAAUUAGCUCUUCCUGGCCUGGGCCUGCACACGACACCUAAUCCUCACCACUAGAGGAGUCAAUGCCCUCAAGGCAGCAAGUGAUGGGCAAUAAGUAUGGCCUCACUAGUGUGACUCACAUCCAAGGGGCAAACUCUUAAAAAUUUAAAAGCCAAAACAAACAAUAACUUUUCCAAACUGCAGAGUGAUACUUGUGUUUAUCAAUAAAAAUAGUCAAUUUAGGUACAAUACAAGCGCUGAAGUGACCACGUGGCUGUAUAGUUAUUUUUUAUCUGCUAUUGCCUGGCAAAACUUUCAAAAUGCACCAGUAGCUGCCUCUGCAGAGACAGCAGAACCAGAAACUGUUCAGCUCCAAGCAUCCUUACUGUAUUCAGUGCCUUCGUCGGGUAAGGUGGCAGAGUAAUCGAAGUAGGUGGCAUUCCAUCGCAGCUCCCGGUUCUUGGUGUCAUACAUGGUGAUUGUGUACUCUGAAAACAGAAGAGCAUGUCAGCACAAAGGAGCUAUUCGAGACCCAGGCACAAAAGGAACAAAAAAAUAGUUCAAAAUGAGCACCACCCUUAAGAGAAGCUUGAACAGUCUCUUUGAAAAUAGCAGCACAAUGAGAGUGGGUCUUUAUGCACAAUCUUCUACAAAACUUGGCAAAGAAAUAACAUACAGGAGACACUGGUCUGUACAUAAGUUACUGAAAAUGAAGUUCACAGACCAUUUCAAUCAGUGAUUUAUGGACUGAGACAAUACACAGUAAAGCAGAAUGACCUGGAACAAGGGGUGAUGAUCAUAUUGAACUCUGCAUGGAGAGAGGAUGAUGUGUUUUGUUGUCAAGGGGACAGAGGCCCAGAUCAAAAAUCAUAGGAAGUCAACUGCCAGUUUCCACACAUUGACAAAAGAGGGAUAGCUGGUCAUAGACUCUCAGACGCAGACAGAGAGAGAGACCUGGAGAGGAAAAACAAAAAACCGCUGCUGCUGUGCCAAGUACAGGAAAAGACAGUUUCGGCAUCAAUUGCUAAGCAGAACACUGGUGAGAACAGAUUCCCUGUUUGAAGUGAGGAGACUUGCAGAGGUUUACAAACUAAGGAGACACCAGAGGAUACCUUGCUGCUGGAAGUCAAUUCAAUGAUAGGAGACUGAGUGAAGGGACUUUUAAAAGGAAGACUUGCCCAAGUGCAGCAGGGAGAAGGAAUCCUGUUAGAAAGCCUGGAGGAGAUUGGAACUUUAUCUACAAGGCUACGUAUCAGCUGAGAGUGCCAUAACGUAUAAACAUGGCCUGGGGUUUUCAGCUGUGUUAAUUAGUCAAUGGGGAAAGUACCUUUUCUGUAAUUUUGUUGCCUAAGUAAUGUUUUGUCAAUGUUGAUUUUAACUUAUUUGUUACAGUAAGUCUUAAAACACGAGAUCUCGUGGUGUGUUCUCUCAGUUGGUCACUGGGAAAUUUGUUUCUCUUUUUAAAUGUUAUCAGUCUCUACAGAGAUUGUAACAUGUUGCACAAAAGGCAAUGUUUAAGUUGGCAUGUUGGUGUGACUUUAACUACAUGUUGGCUAUGUGGAGAAAGCCAAUUGAAGGCUAGGGAUUUUUUUUUAUAAACUCAUUUUUUUAAUGCAAAUUCAUAAUCUGUCAAUCUCCAGAAUAACCAGUUCCAUAAACAGCACAUUUUCCGGCUAAUAAAAAAUCUUGCUCAACAAACAUAUAAACUGUACAUUGGGACAGUUCCAGCAUUUGAAACUGAAUAAUAAACAAUUAUUAUUA